This 453-nucleotide long non-coding RNA is filed under the name Dromaius novaehollandiae (emu). RNAcentral describes it as "lncRNA (ENSDNVG00000007727.1)". Lineage: Eukaryota; Metazoa; Chordata; Aves; Casuariiformes; Dromaiidae. The record is from RNAcentral.
AAAACUCGUACAAAAACACCGACAGACCUUCAGAGACACUAGCGAUUCUCCCUUGGAUAAUCCAAGGGAAGACCAAUUACUGGCUGAUMUACUGAGCAUAUCCUGAGCUAUCAAACAAAAAUCUUACUUCUUUUUCUUCCAGAGGCAUCACGACAAGCUGCAGACCAGCAAACGAAGCUAAGUGAGGGCAGUAUGACCAAUGUCUGCUGUGUCAGUUCCCCAGCAGUUGAAGCAUGUUAUCAGGUGUCCAAGACCUACAGCUUGCGGAGACUGGAAAGGAAGACAAAUAAGGUCGGAUCGAUGUCCUCAGAGGGCGGAGAAGGGUGGAGAAAAAGGACAAGAUUCAGACCGGACAUACGUACCAGGCUACACAUUCUCCACCCCUUUUGGACAUGCAAAACUACGAAGGACCAUGGAUUUUCACAACAGAGACAGCUGAUAUCUGAACAUUAG